Molecule: ribosomal RNA, 245 nt
Filed under: uncultured bacterium
Lineage: Bacteria
Description: partial 16S ribosomal RNA
Rfam family: Bacterial small subunit ribosomal RNA
Source: RNAcentral
GAUCAUGGCUCAGGAUGAACGCUGGCGGCAUGCCUAGACAUGCAAGUCGAACGGAGGUGGCCCAAAGAAGAUUGAGUGCUUGCACAAGAUUGGACUUGGAUUACCACCUAGUGGCGGACGGGUGAGUAACACGUAGGUGACCUGCCUUUGAGUUUGGGAUAACUAUUAGAAAUGAUAGCUAAUACCGGAUUAAAUGCAGAUUCGUUUCUGUAUUAAAAGGAGCCUUUAAAAGCUUCGCUUAAAGA